AACGAACGCUGGCGGCAUGCCUAACACAUGCAAGUCGAACGAGACCUUCGGGUCUAGUGGCGCACGGGUGCGUAACGCGUGGGAACCUGCCCUUAGGUUCGGAAUAACUCCCCGAAAGGGGUGCUAAAACCGGAUAAUGUCUUCGGACCAAAGAUUUAUCGCCUUUGGAUGGGCCCGCGUUGGAUUAGCUAGUUGGUAGGGUAAAAGCCUACCAAGGCGACGAUCCAUAGCUGGUCUGAGAGGAUGAUCAGCCACACUGGGACUGAGACACGGCCCAGACUCCUACGGGAGGCAGCAGUGGGGAAUAUUGGACAAUGGGCGAAAGCCUGAUCCAGCAAUGCCGCGUGAGUGAUGAAGGCCUUAGGGUUGUAAAGCUCUUUUACCCGGGAUGAUAAUGACAGUGCCGGGAGAAUAAGCUCCGGCUAACUCCGUG
Molecule: ribosomal RNA, 433 nt
Filed under: uncultured bacterium
Lineage: Bacteria
Description: partial 16S ribosomal RNA
Rfam family: Bacterial small subunit ribosomal RNA
Source: RNAcentral